Molecule: long non-coding RNA, 271 nt
Filed under: Elaeis guineensis (African oil palm)
Lineage: Eukaryota; Viridiplantae; Streptophyta; Magnoliopsida; Arecales; Arecaceae
Description: long non-coding RNA (EGUI_LNC081690)
Source: RNAcentral
AAGAUCAUGACAUAUCUUAUUACCAUACGGAAAUGAACCUAACUGGGUCACAUAAAUAAGAGUUAGGGUCUGGAUGUCAUCAAUUGAGCUAACCCAGUUCGAUUGAUUUGGAUUAGAUCCAAUUAGGUUCAAAGAAAUCGUGCUAGCACACGAUUGAGCCUAACUUUCUCCUCAUGUAAUCUUUUCUAUCUCGAUUGAGCCAAAUGUGAUUUGACUCACCCAAAGAACCUUGAGAAGAUUUCUCUCAGUCUGACUGAAGUCAGUCCAGCUC